AACGAGAACAACAAACUUACUAAAAAAAAGAACAAAAAAAAAAAACUUCAAAUAUACUCAUAUGAUUUCGCAUUUUCUUACUUUAGUACCCUAUGAUUUAGAGUGUAUCAAAUUAGUAUUUUAUGAUUUUAUUUUAUUUUUUUCGUUAGCUCCUCUGUUAAUAUUUUGUUAAAUUAUAUACAGAAAAAUUUCAGAUACCCUACUUAGAUUUAUCGAAUAUUCACUUUAGUACUAUUUAGUUUUAACUUUGUCACUGAUUCGACGAAAGAAAAUUAGUGAAAUGGAUAAUAAAAAGAAAAAAAUAAAAUUUUAUGGUACUAAAUUGGUAUAUUUUAAACUACAGAAUAUUAAAUCAUUUCUCUUUUUUUUUUUCUUUUUAUUUUUUUAGAGAAAACUUUAAAUAUCACUUUUGUGGUUUCACACUUUCUCACUUUAAUAUCCUCCGCAUCUGUUCGCUCAACAACACUCGUGCGGUGUUCUAAACCCUAAACCUUCCCCAAUUUGGCGGGAAAUUUGCAAAAAAAAAAAAAAAAAAAAAAAAAAAAAAAAAAAACCCCAAC
RNAcentral lists this long non-coding RNA (560 nucleotides) under Ananas comosus (pineapple). Its description in RNAcentral is "long non-coding RNA (ACOM_LNC006595)". Lineage: Eukaryota; Viridiplantae; Streptophyta; Magnoliopsida; Poales; Bromeliaceae. The record is from RNAcentral.